Molecule: long non-coding RNA, 738 nt
Filed under: Homo sapiens (human)
Lineage: Eukaryota; Metazoa; Chordata; Mammalia; Primates; Hominidae
Description: non-protein coding TEX41:121
Source: RNAcentral
AUCUUGAAAACGGAAAAUAAAAACAGCAGACCUAUGAAGGUCGAAGGGGAAGAAAAGCUGUAUCGAUUGUUGAGAUCUGGCGACUUGUUUAAAUUUCAUCAGCCUCACUUCUAUGAACUCUCAGGCCUCACGUGUACCAGCUCUCUGCUCUCCUUUGCCUUGGGACGUUCCAUCCCUGGAAGUUUCCCUGCCCACAUCUUUGUAGAGAGUCCAUUCUCCAAGCUUCAGUGUGUCAUCUGUGAGGACCGUGACCCACCUGGUACAUCGCCUCAGGGCAUUCAUUUCAGGCUCCUUCUAAAUGGCCAAGUUUUCAAGAUUGUUUUGGCUCUAGCAAAACAAGUUGGAACAUUCACAUCAUCCAGUUUCAAGUUCAGAAUAGUCGAAACAGGCCUUUUCAAGAACAGUAUUCAUUGAAAUGCAUCAAAGCUCUUCUGCCAGCCUAACAAGCAUAGCAAGAAGAUAUAGCCCCACAACCACUUUAUGCACAAAGUUAGAAGCAUAAAAUCUCAUGGAAGGAGACCGAUUAUCUACAGAAGAGGUUGUCUUGCCAUUUCUCUCAUGUUAGAGCUGCACUGAUGAGGAAACUGAAACAGAAAAUCCAGAGUAAAUUCCACCAGGCCACACAGCAAGGUCUGAUAGAGCCAGGAGAGACUUUAUGAAAUCCAGACUCUCACACUAAUGCUCUAUCAGCUAGACCUCCAUGUGAGUCUCCCCAAUGUAGGUAGGAAGUGCUUUCCC